GACGGAGGGGGCUAGCGUUGUUCGGAAUUACUGGGCGUAAAGCGCGCGUAGGCGGCCGGUCAAGUUAGGCGUGAAAGGCCUGGGCUCAACCUGGGAACGGCGCUUAAGACUGAUCGGCUGGAGUCCGGGAGAGGGUGGUGGAAUUCCCAGUGUAGAGGUGAAAUUCGUAGAUAUUGGGAAGAACACCAGUGGCGAAGGCGACUCACUGGACAUGUAUUGACGCUGAGGUACGAAAGCGUGGGGAGCAAACAGG
RNAcentral lists this ribosomal RNA (253 nucleotides) under uncultured bacterium. RNAcentral's name for it is "partial 16S ribosomal RNA". It matches the Rfam family "Bacterial small subunit ribosomal RNA", at positions 524 to 776 of the family's 1533-position model. The record is from RNAcentral.